ACGAACGCUGGCGGCGUGCCUAAUACAUGCAAGUCGAACGGUCUUUUCUAUGGAAGCUUGCUUCCACUGAGAAGAUAGUGGCGAACGGGUGAGUAACACGUGGGUAACCUGCCCAUAAGAGGGGGGAUAACAUCCGGAAACGGGUGCUAAUACCGCAUAGUUUUCUUGAUCGCAUGAUCGGGAAAGGAAAGACGGCCUUUGUGCUGUCGCUUAUGGAUGGACCCGCGGCGUAUUAGUUAGUUGGUGAGGUAACGGCUCACCAAGACGAUGAUACGUAGCCGACCUGAGAGGGUGAUCGGCCACAUUGGGACUGAGACACGGCCCAAACUCCUACGGGAGGCAGCAGUAGGGAAUCUUCCGCAAUGGACGAAAGUCUGACGGAGCAACGCCGCGUGAGUGAAAGAAGGUUUUCGGAUCGUAAAACUCUGUUGUCAGAGAAGAACAAGUUGGAGAGUAACUGCUCCAGCCUUGACGGUAUCUGACCAGAAAGCCACGGCUAACUACGUGCCAGCCGCCGC
This 518-nucleotide ribosomal RNA is filed under the name uncultured bacterium. Its description in RNAcentral is "bacterial SSU rRNA". It matches the Rfam family "Bacterial small subunit ribosomal RNA", at positions 29 to 518 of the family's 1533-position model. The record is from RNAcentral.